This 4424-nucleotide long non-coding RNA is filed under the name Delphinapterus leucas (beluga whale). RNAcentral's name for it is "lncRNA (ENSDLEG00000004771.1)". Lineage: Eukaryota; Metazoa; Chordata; Mammalia; Artiodactyla; Monodontidae. The record is from RNAcentral.
GGAGGAGCGCCCGCGCCCGCGCGACUGCGGCCGCCCGGCCCGGCUCACCCCGCCGCCGCCAUGGCGGGCGCCGCGCAGCCGCCUCCGCUUCCCGGUCUGCCCGGCUCCGCGCCGGCGGCCGCAAGCUGUUCCGGUUCAGGGGGCGCGGCCGCUCGGGAUGCGGGGACGCGGGGACUCGGGGACGCGGGGCGGACGCGGGCGGCGGGAACGCGGACAGCCGUGGACGGCGGGAACGCUAGCAGCGGGGAGGAGCAGCGCCGGGCUUGGGCGUGGGCGGCCGCUGGGACUCUGGGCCCGGCCCUCCCGGCCCGCCCUGCGCGCCGUUUCUCGCCCCGCCCCCCGCGCCCUCAGCGCCCCGCCCCCCGGCACCGCCCCGCCCUCUGCCCUGGAAGCGGAUGCGCUACGGAGGAGGGGGCCCUCCCGCGGGCGCGGGCAGCGCGGCGGCGUCGCGAGGGACCGGUGCGAGGAAGAGAGGUGGCCAGGGCAGGCGUGCUGAGGGGAGACGCGGGGACAGAAUGCUUUGAACAGGAGAAACCUGGCGCAACCCAUUUUCCAUAUGAGGAAACUGAGGUACAGAGACACGAAGUGUUAGUGACGGACGCAGGUACUAACUGGGAAGAAAAGUAAGGGAACUAAUACCCAGCAUCAGCAAUGUGUGUACAUCUUGCCAAAGGCAGUGUAAACGUGAUUUUGUCUAAUUCUGGACGACUUUAACCUUUUUUUAACUUGUGCUCCCCCCCGGUCUCUCAGUAAUGUUGAUUACAUUUAUUAGUCCGUGUUUUUAAAAGUUCCAUGCUCUGAACUGUAUUAUUGCCAUUUGUUGGGUUAAGUGGUGGGUGUCCUUGUCCUGAGUUGGCCUGCUGGUCCCCUCUGCAACCAUGACUGUACUGUAAUGGAGAUUGAUGGGCGGCCAAAGGUAAGACAGUUUACAUCCCACCCCCUUACCUGUGAGGUCGAUUCUGGUAUCAUCACUCUUUCCUUUUUGUAUGUGCCGGAAUGGCCUCCCCCUCCUCAGAAGAGAUUUGCUGAAUAAACUGGGAGCUAGUACUCUGAGAACAGGGUGCGGUCCCAGAAGGAACAGAGAUUGCAUCUGUUAGUAGCCCCAGAUGACCCGCCUUUUGGUCAUAAAAAUAGUCCCCAAGAAAUUAGGCAACAGGUAGAUCGUGUGGUUUGGGACAUAUUGGUACCAGGAAAGGCAAAGUAUGCUCCCCCAAUAGAAAUAGAGGAAAAGCCUGGGGGAAAAUACCCUUGGCAGAGGCACUAUCCUUUAAAGCCUGAGGUCUUGAGGCAGGGGAAGGGGUGGGGAUGGGGGCCAACUGCUGCUCACCAAAUUCCUAGAACCUGGGCUCAUUCGGCCCUGCUAGUCCACUUCUCUAAUUCUCCCCAUCCAAAAGCCUCCCGGGGAUAUGGUGAUACUGGUUGGUGCAAGACUUACAAGCAGUGCAUGAGGCAGUCAUCCAUCCCAUUCACCCAAUGGUGCCAAACCUGUACACCGUACUCAAAUGCCAGGGGGUGCUCAACACUUCUCUGUGUUAGACCUCAAGGAUGUAUUUUUCUGUAUCCCCCUACAUCCAGACUCCCAGUACCUUUUUGCCUUUGAAUGGAAGGAACUUGACACCCGGGAAGCUAUUCACUACACUUGGACAGUGCUUCCACAGGGCCUUCGGGACAGCUGCUGUCUUUUUGGAAAUGCGAUAGGAAAAGAACUGAGGGAACUGAGCCUGAAAAAUGGAACUCUGUUACAGUAUGUUGAUGACCUAUUAAUAAGGUCCUAAGGUCCUUUACCUAAAAAAGGUGAAGCCAAGAUUCAGAUCAGAAUACUGUUAAGGUCCUAAAUUUCCUGGCAGAAAGGGGAUAUAAAGUCUCCCCAACAAAGACUCAGAUUUCACAGCAAGAGGUUCAAUAUUUAGGGUUUGUUUUGACCCCCAUCGCAUGAGCCCUGGCCAUAAAUCAGAAAACAGCCAUUAAUGUAUUACCAUUGCCAACCACAAAGAGCUCGGAGGCUUUCUCAGAAUGGCUGGGUUCUGCCGUAUCUGAAUUCCAGAUUAUGGCCUUAUAAUCAAAGCCCUACAGGAAGCUCUAAAGGGAGAAGAAAGGGAACCCCUCUAAUGGAGUAGGGACCACCAGUGGGACUUUGAGACCCUAAAGAUUGAGUUGAGUAGGGCACCAGCACUAGGGCUUCCAAAUUUAGACAAACCCUUCACCCUAUCGAUGAGAGGUCAGGGAUAGCACUAGGAGUCCUGACCCAAAAGCUGGGAGCAGAUCAAAGGCCAGUGGUUUACUUUUCAAAACAACUGGACUCAGCCCCAAGAUGCCCCAGCUGCCUACAGGUGGUAGCAGCCACGGCCCUACUGGUCAGUGAGCCUUCUGAGCUCACCGUGGGACAACACCUAGAUGCAUCAACUCUUCAUCAGGUGCAAUCUGUGUUAGAAGCCAAAGGACACCAUUGGUUAACCAGGGGAAAGUUAGCAAAAUAUCAGGCUCUCCUAAUGGAUACCCCUGAUAUUACUUUAAAGGUGUGCCAAGCCUUAAACCCAGCAACUCUUCUCACAGCUGUCGAAAAUGGAGAUUUAUUGCAUCAGUGUACAGAGACAAUAGAACAAACUUAUUCCAGCAGAUCCAGUCUUCUAGAUGAACCCCUUGACAACCCUGAGGCUGAACGGUUCACUGAUGGGAGUAGUUUUAUAGAGAUGGGAACCCGAAUGGCAGGAUGCUAUAGUUAGCUUAAAUGAAAUCAUAGAAGCCAAGGCCCCACCACCCCAGACUUCAGCCCAGAAAAAUAUUUUUACUGAUUCUAAAUAUGGAUUCCAUGUACUACACGCUCAUGCUGCCAUUUGGAGAGAGAGAGAGGAAUGUUAACUGCUAGAAAUUCUUCCAUAAAACCUAAAGAUUUAAUCUUGGCUCUUUUAGAAGCAGUGCAGCUCCCAACCCAGGUGGCAGUAAUUCACUGUAAGGGCCAUCAGAAGGACGGGUCCUUUAUAAGCCAAGGAAAUAACAAAGCUGAUCAGGCCACAAAACAGGCAGUUCAGUUGCAAGAGCCUGACCAAAUCAUGGCCGCAAGAGCCUGACCAAAUCACGGCCCUAAUGAUUGGCCCCCCUGAACUCCCUGGCCUGCCCCAGUAUUCCCCACAGGAACAAGAGAAUGCUGAAAAAUGGGGCUAUAAGAAAGAAAGCACAGGCUGGUAUAUAAAGGAUGACAAGUUUCUUAUCCCUGGGGCCCAAGAAAGGAGGCUCAUCAAGGGUUUACAUGGUGCCACCUACUGUGGGAGGAAUACACUAUGGGACUUGAUACAAAGGACCUUUUCAGGAAAGGGGCUUAAAGGAACAAUAAAAUGAGUGACCCUUGCCUGUGAUUUGUGUGCCCAUAAUAAUCCGCAGGCCCAUCCAAUCCCUCCUUCAUUACUCAAGCCACUUCAACCCCGUGGGACAUACCUGGGGGAAGACUGACAAUUAAACUUCACCCAAAUGCCCCCACAGUCAGGAUAUAAAUAUAUUCCUGUGUCUGUCAGUACUUUUAUAGGAUGGGUGGAAGCCUUCCCCACUCAAUCUGAAAAGACCACUGAAGUCUGUAAGUCCCUCUUAAAUAAGAAACGAUUCCUCGGUUUGGGCUUCUAAAAUCCCUCCAGAGCAAUAAUCGGCCCUCCCUCAUAGCGAACAUCACCCAAGGCCUAUCAGCCGCCUUGGAAUUAGCUACAAUCUGCACACCUCUUGGCACCUCCAGUCUUCAGGAAAAGUAGACAAAAUGAACCAUACUUUAAAGAAAACCUUAACAAAACUUUGCCAAGAGAUUCAUGAGCCUUGGACCAACCUGCUUCUUAUUGCACUCCUCAGGGUUCACAUAGCCCCCAGGAGUCUCCUGAAGCUUAGACCAUUUGAAGUGACCUAUGAGACGCCCUUCCUUACCACUGGUAUGAGGAAGUGAGCCAGAGGCUACAGUGUGUUAUUAACCUGGGACAGGUUCAAAAGGCAAUCUUGGACUAAGCCAAGAAGGCACUGCCAGGUCCCACUAGGGGUAAAACAGAAGGGGCAGCCCCUCCACAAAUUAACUUCAGGGUCCAGGUUCUUCUUAAAACUUGGAAGGAGGGAUCCCCUGGAGAUCAACUAUUACCAAAAUGAAAGGGCCCCUGUAGAGUAAUUUUAGCCACCCCCACUGCCAUUAAACUACAAGGAAUACCUAGUUAGGUACAUUUAUCUAGAUUAAAACUCUUGCCUCCCAAAACCCCACAGGCCACAACAGAAGAACACACCUGUGAGCCAGUAGAAGACCUGCGAUACUUACUCAAAAACUGAGCACCACUAACAGAUGAGUAAAGGGGGAUGUGGUAGGCUGGACUUCUAUUUGCUUACUUUGUUAUAGUUUUGCUCACAUCUUACCGGUUUGCUCAACCACCCCCAGUGAAAAAGCAACUCUUUUGUCCCUCCUG